UGACGGCGUCAGGGAAAGUCCGGUGAAACUCCGGCACUGUCGCGCAACGGUUACGCCCCCUGGGGCAGAAAGUCCGAAUGCCUGCCCGUCG
Molecule: non-coding RNA, 91 nt
Filed under: Deinococcus peraridilitoris
Lineage: Bacteria; Thermotogati; Deinococcota; Deinococci; Deinococcales; Deinococcaceae
Also listed under: 1 other name
Source: RNAcentral